Long non-coding RNA from Podarcis raffonei (Aeolian wall lizard), 1494 nucleotides. RefSeq lists it as uncharacterized. The record is from RefSeq and is a predicted model, not a curated record. NCBI's taxonomy places the organism in Eukaryota, Metazoa, Chordata, Lepidosauria, Squamata, Lacertidae. The transcript has 3 exons.
AUCUGGGCGCCUGGCUUCCUCCACCUCUCUCAUCUGUCGGCGAGGAGGGGAAACUCUGCCCGGAGCCUCCUGGAGUCCUCUGGAGGAACAGAGUUUGGCUGUCCCUUCACUUGAGUUACUGCUGGAAAUCUUCCCAUACCCAACAGUGAAAGUUAAUUGCCUGGUGGACCUCAAACAGAAACUUACCAAAAGUGAACAAUUCAAAGGAUGGGGAAUUUGGAUAAGAGGCCUGCAGGUUCCCCCAGAUGGCGCUUUCAUGUCCUAUUCUCUCAGUGCAGAGAUUGGCCGGCAACCAGGAAAAGGUUACAGCUAGCAGAGGAAUUCAUGCUUUUGAGGAUCAAAGAAGGCUGUUCCCACCAAAGCGGCAGUGACAGCAGCCGCUCAGAAUGACUCACAUUUUUUCGCACUUUUGAAAAGAGGAUUGCAGCCAAUGGAACAGCUAGAGGAUUGGCCAGCACCCCAACGAGAGAAGGUUAUUGCUGUUUUCUUCCGCUCAUCUGCAUCUGAUUCCAGGAACUUUUCCUAGCCUUACAUAAUAUUGUCCCCCCACCUCUGCAAGAACGUUUUGCUAGUACAGUGGUACCUCGGGUUACAUACGCUUCAGGUUACACACGCUUCAGGUUACAGACUCCGCUAACCCAGAAAUAGUGCUUCAGGUUAAGAACUUUGCUUCAGGAUGAGAACAGAAAUCGUGCUCCGGCGGCGCGGCGGCAGCGGGAGGCCCCAUUAGCUAAAGUGGUGCUUCAGGUUAAGAACAGUUUCAGGUUAAGAACAGACCUCCGGAACGAAUUAAGUACUUAACCCGAGGUACCACUGUACAGGCAGGAGAGGAGCUGUGUGAUAUACAGUAUGAAGCAUAGAAUCGUAGAACUGUAGACUUGGGAGGGAUCUGAUGAGCCAUCUAGUCCAACCCACUGCAAUGCAGGAAUCUCAACACAUGGCUCCCCUUCCAGUUUGAAACCCUAUGGGAUCCUGCUUAGCUUUGCAAAUGUGCUAGCAGUUUUAUAGCUAUACAACAGGUGAGAGGGAAGAAAAACUGUGUUUCAGGAAACAUUUCUAGUGGGGCAGAGCCUCCCCAAACGCCCUUCCCUCUUUAGGAACUGCAUUAAGAAAUAGCACUGCCGUUGCCUAGUUAGUUUUUCAAUAGAACAGACUAUUAAGGAAUGCAUAAAUCAGGAGUGGAGGGGGGACCUGUGACCCUCAAGAUUCUGCUGAACUGCUGCUCCUGUUGUACCUUGUCCACGCUUCUGCUUCUCCCGCCACUUCCCCCUGAGUAAACCUGCUCUUUACCGCUGAAUCAGAGCAAACGUCAAUCAGGUUUCCUGUGGGUUUUGACGUUUGCUCUGAUUCGGCAGUAAAGAGCAGGUUUUCCUGGGGAAAGCAGUGGGGGAAAUGGAAAAUCCACUCAGACCUGUGCCUAGAAAGAAUGGGACAAGUGGAAAAUUGCUCAGACCCAUUCUUCCUAGGUGCAUACUCUCCAACAGCUCUCUGAUA